CAAAAGAUCACUUGAGUCUAGAAGUUUAUGGCCAGCCUCAGAAAACACAGCAAGACCAUGUAUUAAUCAGUCACAAACUCCAAACAAACAAAACAUGAUGGAAUGCAGCGCUCCUGUGUAGCUGCUGCUGAGAAAAAGGCUCCCUUUAACUCCACACAUAGCCAGGCUUCACUGAGGUCCUAGAACCAUCCCAAGCCAACAGCUCCCUCAAGUGCAUGUGAUCAGUGUCCACCUCAGAGGAGACACACAACAACUCGGAAGAGACACAGGGAGGCAUGCUUCCGCGCCUCUCACAGCAGAGCAAACAAGUCAUCAGGAAUCUGGCUGUAGCCUUGACCUUGGUGUUUUCCCUUGGGGGGGGGGCAUCCUCAGCACUGCCCUUUCAGUUAGGGGUGAGCAUGGAAGUCAGCUCCCUGGAUAGAGCAAGGAAGGAGAAAAGCAGCAGACACCAGGUUUCUCCAAGUGUUGACCAUUUAUAAAUACGUACAUUUGCUUUCAUACAUACAGUUCAUUGUACAGAUGACGCUCUGUAUACAUGGGGCAGGAAAAUGCAUUCAUUUGAACUUUUCACAUCUAUCUCACACAGCUCACAUGUACAGACAAUAAAACUGUUCAAGCAAGUACAGUAGAGAAAAUGUCUUCCUUAUUCACGGGGCUGGAGGCCUCCGCUGGGUGUGGGCCAUCCCCACUGCACGAGUUCACGACCGGGUGGUGUUUGAUAUAUCAGGAUAGAGAACAAACAUGCAUUGGAUAAUAUACUGUACAGAGAAAGUCCUUUACAUCUGAGUUAUAGAAAACCUAAAGGAAAACUAAGUGCAUUAAAGCUUUUUCCAGCAAGUGUCUUGAAAGGACAGCAAAGAGGAAUAAUCAAAAUCAUAUUAGUACAAAUCACUCUUUAAUUGUAGACUGUACAUGUCUGUACUAAUUAAAAUCAUCUUGGGUUUGGAGGAGACAGAACAGAGAGACAGAUGCUGUGCUAGAUGGAAGGGAGGCCAUGCCUGAGAAUGGCACCUGCCCUGGGCCCCACAGGGAAUGGGCCCAACUCAGCAGGAAUCAGUCAAAUGUCAGGAACAAAACAAACAAAGCAAAGCAAAGCAAAGCAAAGCAAAGCAAAGCAAAGCAAAGCAUAGCAAAGCAGGGCAGGCAGUCUGCAUCCAGGGAAGAUGCUUGUCUCCUGCCUCAGGAAGCUCCCAUUGGUGUUCUUAAGUCAAAAACCACUUGCUCCAGUAGUGGCAUGCACUCUCUCUUAUAAUGGAUAGGAAAUAAUUGUGGUUUGACACUGCUAUUUCAGGUCGGGGUAGAGACGCUAACUCUCUUAAUUUUCCUGGGAAAAUGAGGGACCAUGGGUAAUAGUGGCAGCUGUGGUGUAUUUUUAGGUCUGCAUGGCAUUCUAACCCACCUGGGCAGGUAAGGUGGUAAGGGUGGCUUUCCAAACAGGCGGGAGCACUUUAUUAAUGGACUGUAGGAGCUCCCUCAGAGGUGGUUCAGGUAAGAUACAAUGUGAUGCAGAGACCAACAGAGCUGUGUCCAGGCCACAAGGGGACUCGAGAGGCUGCUGCUCCCAGCUAUAGGCUGACCCCACAGCUAUAAGCUUCUUCCAGAUGGGAGAGAUGAAGAUAAAGACAGGUGGAUGGCCAGGUAGGGAGAAAUGACCAGUGCCUAUCCUAGUCUAGGAGGAUGGGGCAGUUCUAUAUCAGAGUAAAAGCAGUCCUGCUUACAGAGAUGAAUUCUGAUGUUUUAGGCUUGGGGGUCCUGGGGUCCAUCUACUGGCAGAAUCUAAAUCAGUGAUGAAAGGUUUCUGAUUGCAGUGUCAUGCUCUGCAUGACUUCAGAUCCUAUCAGAGAACUGCAUUCCAAACAGAUCACAGCUGGGUUUUAUUCAGGAAAUUAUCCUUCCUGCAGCCCUUCACUAAUGAGAAAUGCUCCCUAAGAACAUGGUAGCAACAAGCAACAUGGUUACUUUGCUGGACCUGUGACUUGGUUUUGAGAACUGACGUGUUCCCAGAGAUGGUACUGUGCUACAGCUUUGGUUCCUGUGUCCUUGAUGCCUACCUCACAGUUGUCUCAGCUUUUCAAAAAAUCAGGUUAGCAAACAGCCACAAGACGAAUGGAAACGGAGGGAGGAAAAGGCCUACUAUCAAUCUCAUGCCCCUACCCAGUGCUCAGAGCAAUCUGUAACACUUUUGGCUGUUUCUGAUUUUCAAAGAUUACCAUUUAACACUCUUAGAUAAAAGAGACAAUUCCUUUAACAGAGAAUAAUGAAAUCAGAGGUCUUAAAAUGGAAUUAGAUAACAGCCAACAUGGAAUGUAGUGGCCUGGGUGGAAACCCUGGGAUGGGCCUUACAGUCCCCAAGAGAACCCAAGCAGGUUCUGGAAGAAACUCUUUACACUAUCAUCUUGGUUUUGAGACAAUGACGUCAGCUGAGCGAAGCCUGGCUCCAGGUGAAAGUGCAUCGAGUCCGGUUACUACAGCAGCCAGACCUCAGAGGUUGUUCAGGGUUUUUUUUUGUGAUCUAAAAUGCAGACUUGACCCAGCUUUCUCUUGGUGAGAAGCAAGAACAAUCUUUCCCCCUUUCUCCUCCUUUCUCCAUACUUAUUCCCUUCUCUAGCCGUGGAAAAUCAGCAGCCUUUAGUGGCUGUUAGUUAAUGCCUAGAGAAUACCUCUUGGUGAGUACUUUAAAAAUACCAACAGUUCUCCUGGAAUUUCCUUGGCUAAUCAGGGCUGGAUGUUUAUUAAAAGUUCCCCAAACACUUCUUGGAAAACCAACAUAGUAACAUUUCAGAUAAUUAUAGUGGGCUUUUCUUCCAAUCAAUUUAGCCUGCCUUUCUUUCUUUCUUUCUUUCUUUCUUUCUUUCUUUCUUUCUUUCUUUCUUUCUUUCUUNNNNNNNNNNCCUCUCUUACUCUUUCUCUCUCACUCUCCCUAGACCCCUUUGUCCCAGAGAAGGACCAGCAAUAAAGGAAAUGAAGAUUCUAGAGCUGACGCCUGC
This 2987-nucleotide long non-coding RNA is filed under the name Mus spicilegus (steppe mouse). RNAcentral's name for it is "lncRNA (ENSMSIG00000025498.1)". Lineage: Eukaryota; Metazoa; Chordata; Mammalia; Rodentia; Muridae. The record is from RNAcentral.